GGCGCUUUCCGCGCACUUCCCCCCACCCCCGGCUUGCGCUCUCCUACCCCCCAUCCUCUCCCCAGAUCCCUCCUCUCGUUCUCCUCCCAUUCUGCUCCUUCCUCCUCCCACAGUAGCUGCUGCUUCCCAGGCGCUCGGAGAUGGGCAGCGAGAGCGCGCGUAGCAGCAGCACCAGCUCCGGGGCCGCCGCCGCUGAUCUUCUCUUCCUUCGGGGCUGGACCGCGCGCCUUCCUCAGCACGCCGCCGCCACGCAGCCCUCGGUCUCCGGGUCAAUGGCGCUAUCCCCCUAGGAUGGAUUACUCUGUGCUUGGGAAGGGGAUCUUCAGAGGAUUAUGAUGUAAGAGUUCAAGGAUUGGAUAAAAAAUUGGCAUCAUAUAAAAACCAGCCCUCUAUUUCUGCCCACUUAUAAUAAUCCAUGAUAUGUUCUUCAAAUUGUAAGUAAAUAAGUUUAAUGGUGGAGUUUGGGAGGGAAAAUAUGAAAGCAGAUCUU
This 490-nucleotide long non-coding RNA is filed under the name Phascolarctos cinereus (koala). Its description in RNAcentral is "lncRNA (ENSPCIG00000032819.1)". Lineage: Eukaryota; Metazoa; Chordata; Mammalia; Diprotodontia; Phascolarctidae. The record is from RNAcentral.